RNAcentral lists this ribosomal RNA (742 nucleotides) under uncultured bacterium. RNAcentral's name for it is "bacterial SSU rRNA". It matches the Rfam family "Bacterial small subunit ribosomal RNA", at positions 57 to 792 of the family's 1533-position model. The record is from RNAcentral.
GCAAGUCGAACGGUAACAUGGAUUGCUUGCAAUCUGAUGACGAGUGGCGCACGGGUGCGUAACGCGUAUAGAACCUACCCUUCACAGGGGGAUAGCCCGGAGAAAUUCGGAUUAAUACCCCAUAGUACUAUUUAGAGGCAUCUUUAGAUGGUUAAAGUUUUUACGGUGAAGGAUGGCUAUGCGUCCUAUUAGUUAGUAGGUGAGGUAACGGCUCACCUAGACUCCGAUAGGUAGGGGCCCUGAGAGGGGGAUCCCCCACACUGGUACUGAGACACGGACCAGACUCCUACGGGAGGCAGCAGUGAGGAAUAUUGGACAAUGGUCGGGAGACUGAUCCAGCCAUGCCGCGUGCAGGAAGACUGCCCUAUGGGUUGUAAACUGCUUUUUUACGGGAAGAAUAAUACCCACGUGUGGGUAGAUGACGGUACCGUAGGAAUAAGGACCGGCUAACUCCGUGCCAGCAGCCGCGGUAAUACGGAGGGUCCGAGCGUUAUCCGGAAUUAUUGGGUUUAAAGGGUCCGCAGGCGGGCCAGUAAGUCAGGGGUGAAAGUUUGCGGCUUAACCGUAAAAUUGCCUUUGAUACUGCUGGUCUUGAGUUGCGGUGAAGUGGCCGGAAUAUGUGGUGUAGCGGUGAAAUGCAUAGAUAUCACAUAGAACACCGAUUGCGAAGGCAGGUCACUAACCGCCGACUGACGCUGAUGGACGAAAGCGUGGGGAGCGAACGGGAUUAGAUACCCUGGUA